AGAGCAAAGAAUUAGGCCAGGAGUUGUUUAUGGGCUUUGGCAUCAUCUGAGAAGAGUAGAAUAUCAUCAAUAUAGAUUUGGGCCAAAUACAGAAUGGGCUCAAAGAUUCAAACCAUGGCUUUUUGAAACAAUGGUGAUGCUAAUUUUAAGCCAAAUGGCAUCACGGUCUAUUGGUAUUGGGCAUUGAGAAUACAAAAUACUGUUUUAUAUCUAUCUGCUGUAUCUAUGUCCAAUUGCUAGAAUCCCACCUUUAGAUCAAAUUUUGAAAAUAUGUGGGCAUGAUGGAAAUAGGUAAACAGGGAACUGAUUUUUAGAAGAGGAAAUUUAUCAUCUCGUACAAAAUGAUUUGUAAUCAAUUACUAGCCUAUUUUUUCCCCAAACUUUUUCAGAUUGUUUUUCCAUAUAAAAGGCCUGGCAUGCCCAUUUUGAUUUGGUGGGUUCUAUAAGACCUCGUUGAAGUAGCUGCUAGCAUUCUUCUUAUGCAAGUCGAAGGUCUGAUGUUGUCCUACCAAGAUGUGUAGCCUUUAUAGGAUUAACUUCUUCGUUAAGCUUAAAGGGAAGCUUAAUAAAGAAUUUAGGAUUUUUCCAUAAAAGCUUUUCAUGGUGGAAAUCUGCAUGAGAAUCGGCACAAGAUGGCAUAAGCAGAUCUCGGAACUCCUAAAAGUCUUCUGGAGCUUUUGAAAGAGUGAGCAAUUUUGGGACUGUGGUAUAAGGUUUGAAAAAUCUUUUGAACUUUAAGCCAUUAGGGAGAAUUUGAAGUUUCUGAGUCUAUUGAUAAGUAUCAAACUCAAUCAAUAAAUCUGUGCCAUGAAGGUUUGUACCAAUUACUCUAGUCCAGAUUAUACUUUAGCAUUGAAGUUGGGAAAAUAGAUUUAUGAAGUCAUCAUUACCAUUAGAUUCUUCCAAAAAGAAAAAAGAAAAGAAAAUGACAGAGAGAUUACUUCUGAGGAAGGAAGUUAUUCUUGGAGAGACAAGCUUGAAUGUCGCAAGCUUCUUUCUUGCACGGCUCUUUGCUCGGUUGCGCCAUUUCUCUGGUUCUCUCACCAGCUCCCUCCUUAGGAUUAUUAAUUUUCAAUUUAAUGGUGAUUUCCAGAGAAAUUGCACAAAAACGGUACCGUUUAAUUUGGAUUGUCCAUGAGAAAACUAGGAGCUCGGGCCUCAGACUUCUGAAACAAUCUCCAUGGAUUGGAAGAUUCCCCAAGCCCAACCUUUUCUCUAUCAUAGCAUUGCCAGCCAAAUUCAGAGCUGAACAGCUGCUUAUAUUUUAUGGUGAAGCACCCUCUGUACUUUUUAGUUUCUGUCUCUGUUAUCCCUGUCCGGAAUGGAAACAGCAAAGCUAUUAAGAAGAGUAUUCCGAACGAAAGUAAAGCAAGCAUCUUUGCUAUGGCUUGAGGGUUUUCGAGAAGCUUGUUGCCUGCACAGAGUAGUUAUUCUUUGUCUCAGGUCAAGAAAGCUUUUGAUUAGAACAGGGCAGUGUUUUCUCUUGAAUGGCUUCAUUUUCUUGGGAAGUAUUUUUGUCCUGAACUCAGUCGUCAUCCCAACAUUACAAUGGAUACUACCUGAUCAGUAUUCAGAUAUUAGUUCUCAAGAGCCAUGCACAUUCAGCAGUAUUUUAAAACUUUAUUCUUUUUUACGCGUUGUACUCAUACAACUCUUUUAUGUAAGUAUGCAGAUCAUACAUGCUUAUGACUUUGUGUUCGUGCUUCUGUAAAUUCUAUGAAAUUCUUACUUAUUAGGAUGCGUGGGUUUUCUUUAGUUUCUGGAUCAUGAAACUGGGAUAGGUAGCUUAUAUAGUUUGCAAACACAUACAAAAUAUAAUAAUACAAUCUUUACUCUUAGCCUUAGAAAACAUUAAAUUGUAGUUUUAUAAAAUAUUAAAUCAUAACCACUAAUCUAAACAACAAAUAAAGGAGUCUGGAAGACCACAGUACCCAAUCAUGUCAACUGCAACAGCAGCACAAACACUAAUUCAACAUCUAAGGCAAGAUAUAAUUUUUAAGUGCAAAUAUCCUUUUGAAAAUUUGCUGGAUCUUAAUUCAGUUCAUUUUCAAAGAAAUAUGAAGGUAGGAAGAUUCUAGGUCAUACACCUAGUGUCCCCUUUGUAUCAUAUAAGAUAACUGCUAUUUGCUAAGUUGAUCUCCAUCGAAUUUGACAGCAGAUGCAGCCUUAAAGGUAUGCAACUAUGCAUAACUCUAAGAAGGCUACAAUUGACAUUUGGAAAGUAUGGAAUUUAAACUUGCUUACUGCUUAUUCAAUAGUCAAGCCAAUAAGGUCUCGCCUUAAGUUGCAAUGACAUGACUGGACUACAGAAUAGUUCUGCAGAGUUGUGUGGAAGUCCCAUAUCUCAUAAAACUUUGAACUGGUGAAGAUGCUUUUGACUCAUUAAAUUGAACAGAACUCAGAACUAGAAUACCUUGCAGCAUAUCUGUAUAAACUAACUUGAAAAUAAAACUUUGAAUCACCUAGAAAAAGCAGUGCAUUGUCUCAAGUGGAUGCCACAGAAAGAAAAACUAAACAAUCUUAGAAUUCUUUGGAUUUCAGUUUGCUUUCUAUUGAGGCUUUUGUUUGUGUUAAACACUUUUUCUUCAUAGGUUGAAUUGUGUUCUCUUAAGUUUUCAAUUUUCUUCCCCCCUGUUAGAUAACAAUGUGUUCCUCUACCCCCUAAAAAUCUUUAUCUGAACCCAAGAAGUAAGAAUUAUAUAUGUAUCU
Molecule: unclassified non-coding RNA, 2709 nt
Filed under: Hevea brasiliensis (rubber tree)
Lineage: Eukaryota; Viridiplantae; Streptophyta; Magnoliopsida; Malpighiales; Euphorbiaceae
Source: RNAcentral